GUGCCAGCCGCCGCGGUAAUACAGAGGUCUCAAGCGUUAAUCGGAAUUACUGGGCUUAAAGGGUCCGCAGGCGGUCUGACAAGUACCUUGUGAAAUAUCAGGUCUCAACCCUGAAACUGCUCGGUAGACUGUCAGACUUGAGUGCAAAAGGGGUCGCUGGAACUCUAGGUGGAGCGGUGAAAUGCGUAGAUAUCUAGAGGAACGCCAAAGGUGAAGACAGGCGACUGGUUUGCAACUGACGCUCAUGGACGAAAGCGUGGGGAUCAAACGGGAUUAGAUACCCUCGUAGUCC
RNAcentral lists this ribosomal RNA (292 nucleotides) under uncultured bacterium. RNAcentral's name for it is "partial 16S ribosomal RNA". It matches the Rfam family "Bacterial small subunit ribosomal RNA", at positions 505 to 796 of the family's 1533-position model. The record is from RNAcentral.